Molecule: ribosomal RNA, 939 nt
Filed under: Thalassironus sp. M1
Lineage: Eukaryota; Metazoa; Nematoda; Enoplea; Enoplida; Ironidae
Description: bacterial SSU rRNA
Rfam family: Eukaryotic small subunit ribosomal RNA
Source: RNAcentral
AUGCAUGUCUAAGCACACGCCGAUAAAUGGUAAAGCCGCGAAUAGCUCAUUACAACAGCCAUUAUUUAUUGGAUCUUACUUUCCUACUUGGAUAACUGUGGCAAUUCUAGAGCUAAUACAUGCAACAACGCUCCGACUUAUGGAAGGAGUGCAUUUAUUAGACCAAAACCAAUCGAGCUUCGGCUCGUAGUUUGGUGACUCUGAAUAACUUUGCCGAUUGAACGGUCUUUGAACCGUCAACGUAUCCUUCAAGUGUCUGACUUAUCAACUUUCGAUGGUAGUGUAUUGGACUACCAUGGUUAUCACGGGUAACGGAGAAUUAGGGUUCGACUCCGGAGAGGGAGCCUGAGAAACGGCUACCACAUCCAAGGAAGGCAGCAGGCACGCAAAUUACCCACUCCCGGCACGGGGAGGUAGUGACGAAAAAUAACGAGACGUUUCUCAUUGAGACGCGUCAUCGGAAUGAAUACAACCUAAAUCCUUUAAUGAGGAUCUAUUGGAGGGCAAGUCUGGUGCCAGCAGCCGCGGUAAUUCCAGCUCCAAUAGCGUAUAUUAAAGUUGUUGCGUUUAAAAAGCUCGUAGUUGGAUCUGAGGUCGUGCGAAGCGGUCACCCAGUGGGUUGUUACUGCUUACGCAGGCCAAAUUUCUCUAGCGCACUCCAAGUGCUCUUAAUUGAGUGUUUGGAGUAGCUAGGACCUUUACUUUGAAAAAAUUAGAGUGCUCAAAGCAGACGUUUGUCUGAAUAUCUCUGCAUGGAAUAAUGGAAUAGGACCUCGAGUCCACUUUGUUGGUUUUCGGUCCCGAGGUAAUGAUUAAGAGGGACAGACGGGGGCAUUCGUAUUGCGACGUUAGAGGUGAAAUUCUUGGAUCGUCGCAAGACGAACUACUGCGAAAGCAUUUGCCAAGAAUGUUUUCAUUAAUCAAGAACGAAAGUUAGAG